UUAAACUGCGGAGCGGGGGCGGGGAGAUUAGGUAGGGGGCGAGGGUGAAUCUGAAGUACUGGGCGUAAAGUGUGCGCAGGCGGCCAUGCAAGUCGAGUGGGAAAGCCCCGGGCUUAACUGGGGAAUUGCGCUCGAAACUACGUGGCUGGAGUGUGGCAGAGGAAGGUGGAAUUCCACGUGUAGCGGUGAAAUGCGUAGAGAUGUGGAGGAACACCAAUGGCGAAGGCAGCCUUCUGGGCCAACACUGACGCUCAUGCACGAAAGCGUGGGGAGCAAACAGGAUUAGAUACUCGUGUAGUC
RNAcentral lists this ribosomal RNA (300 nucleotides) under uncultured Phyllobacterium sp. RNAcentral's name for it is "bacterial SSU rRNA". The stretch from base 53 to 300 matches the Rfam family "Bacterial small subunit ribosomal RNA", at positions 548 to 795 of the family's 1533-position model. Lineage: Bacteria; Pseudomonadati; Pseudomonadota; Alphaproteobacteria; Hyphomicrobiales; Phyllobacteriaceae. The record is from RNAcentral.